Long non-coding RNA from Sapajus apella (tufted capuchin), 441 nucleotides. RefSeq lists it as uncharacterized. The record is from RefSeq and is a predicted model, not a curated record. The transcript has 3 exons. NCBI's taxonomy places the organism in Eukaryota, Metazoa, Chordata, Mammalia, Primates, Cebidae.
GCACGCUGGCGCCGGCGUUCCCAGAACGCUCCGCGAUGCGGUCCCAGAACUUCAUUUCCUGGAGGUCUCAGCAGCCGCGUACGUUCGCCCUGCGCGGGCUGCGCGCUCUCGCUGCCGGGCGUUUGCUCCUGUUUGAGCAUUGACAUGGACUCACUGGGAUUUUCUGCAGAGGAAUGCCAUGUAAGGAGCAGCAGUUUGUUCAUUCACAUCUGGGAGACAUGCUGUGCUCUGCAAUAUGUAAUUCUGAAAGUAUGGUUUCCAGACCAGCAGCAGCAGAAUAUGGCAACUUGUUUAGAAAUUAUUCUAUUCAGAAUUCCAUGUUAUUUUUAGUCAUCAUGACUCCUUAGGCCCUCUUGCUGUGGCAGUCCUGGAUUUUGAUGACCUUGACAGUUUUGAUGAGUCUUGGUCAGGUAUUUUGUGGAAUGUCCUUCAACUAGGAUU